Molecule: ribosomal RNA, 253 nt
Filed under: uncultured bacterium
Lineage: Bacteria
Description: partial 16S ribosomal RNA
Rfam family: Bacterial small subunit ribosomal RNA
Source: RNAcentral
UACGUAGGUGGCAAGCGUUGUCCGGAUUUACUGGGCGUAAAGAGCGCGCAGGCGGUCGGAUAAGUCGAAUGUGAAAGCCCCUGGCUCAACCAGGGAGGGUCAUUCGAUACUGUUCGACUCGAAGGCAGGAGAGGGAAGUGGAAUUCCGGGUGUAGCGGUGGAAUGCGUAGAGAUCCGGAGGAAGACCGGUGGCGAAGGCGGUCUGCUGGGCAGUUUCUGACACUGAGGCGCGACAGCGUGGGGAGCAAACAGG